RNAcentral lists this long non-coding RNA (1103 nucleotides) under Fukomys damarensis (Damara mole-rat). Its description in RNAcentral is "lncRNA (ENSFDAG00000031281.1)". The record is from RNAcentral. Lineage: Eukaryota; Metazoa; Chordata; Mammalia; Rodentia; Bathyergidae.
AACUCUGCAUAAACAGCACAUGCAGCGUUGUUUACCGGCUGGAACUGGUGGGGUAAAUUAGCGCCAGCUGAUGAUGAUGAGACCUUUGCCCAAGGAACUUUAUGACCCCUCGUUGAAUCCAUUUAUUGUUGCUGCUCCUACUUUGGAGCAUGACUUCCCUAGCAAGAGUUUCUUCAUCCUGUCCCUGUGCUAGAAACAGACAACAGCUUGAAGCCAGCAGCUGCUCCGGAACAAAACAGGAACCUUGGUCUUGUCACAGCACAGCAGCUCCAUUUGGAAAGAAAAAGAAUCCCAGGAAGGUGUCUUCCUGCACGCCCAAGAGGACGCUGCGAAGCCUGAGGGACCUAGCUUUGGAUGGCCCAGACUCACGGGGAGAACAACUGGACUGCACUUCCCCUUGAGGCAAACAGCAAGAUCGAAUUGUAGAAGAGUACAUAGAGGGGAGAGGGGUCACAACCAUUUGGGGAAAAUAAAAUCUACAGAGGGAUAACAAUAAUUAUAUCCAGCUUGCAGAGUUUGGGGAGGUUUAUAAACCUAGGAAUACUAGACAAAUAUAUACAGUGUAUCUAGAGCACUCAAGAAACAUUGGCUAAUAUAUCUUAUCCUCCAAAACCUGCAAUAUUCUGCACUGUGCCCUGAUCUUAUUUUUUUCUGCGAUUUGUGUGACCAUUAUUUUUAAUAUUUUGAAAUUAGCAUCUUCGUUGGAUACCUCCUGCUAUACACCAGGGAAUCAAAACAUUUGCUGGUUUUUCAGGUCUGGGUGAAUAUGUCAUUAUCUGCUCUGUUCACAGUCUUCAUAGUUUACAGGCUGUGGAAAUUUCUUCUCUUAAAAGGUGACUUAGUCCUUCUGUGCCCCUCCUCAGUACCACCGCCCCUAGCUGGGAAAACUGCUAAUUACGCGUGGGUCCUUCACCCUAUCAUAGAAGUUCCAAAAAAGCUAAGUGAAAAAAGAUGGUCAUAGUUUCAAAACUCAAAACAUCUCUCAAGCCAAAGCAUAGUGUUUUGUUUUGUUUUGUUUUGUUCUUGGUACUGGGGAUCGAACUCGGAACCUUGUGCUAGUGAGGCAGGCAGCGGAACAACUUAGCUGAAUCCCUAGCCAAAGC